Molecule: long non-coding RNA, 4668 nt
Filed under: Podarcis lilfordi (Lilford's wall lizard)
Lineage: Eukaryota; Metazoa; Chordata; Lepidosauria; Squamata; Lacertidae
Source: RNAcentral
AAGCGUACAAGCGUCCCUAAAGAAGACGGGUGCGUUGGCUGCAGAAGCUGCCCAUCGAGGAAAGGAGAAAAUGGAGUUACUGCGUAGGUGUCGAAAAGGGCGUAAGCAUUUAACUUCCUCGUCCCAUCGGGUAGCUAGAGAGUUCUUCCCGCGCGUGCUAAUUGGUCGCCAUGGCUGUGGGUCUAUGAACUAAUGUUUACGGCUUUCAAUGGGAAUAUGCUAUCGGAGGAGAAGCGAAAGUAGGAUGGGACACACACACCACGCGCCUGCGCGGACGCAUUACCAAACGCUCUAAAGGGCGGGCUGGUGCUCGCAGCCCCUCGCUUUUCAGGAAAUUUUCCCAAUAAUGUAAUUUGGGCUUUACCAAAUAAAAUAGGAAAAAGGUAAAAGGCGGAUUUAGACGGAUCCUCGUGAAUUCAUAUGAUUUUUUCAUUCAAAUUAAAUAAAACCACCAUGAUACUGUAGACCAUGUCUUACUCUGUAGACAGCAUCAAAAAAAUCAUGCACCCACUAUUUUGUGGGGCCACAGGGGCGCAAAAACAUGGUUAAAAAACACGGAUCCUCAUGAUUUUUGCACUAGAUCAGCCCAAAGUCACCAUCAGAUCAAACAUCAUGGCCAUGGGCACAGCAUCCACCACAAAAAUCACAGAUCCACGGCUUCCUGGCAAAUUCAUGGCCCAAAAACGUGGUUUCGAAGCACGGAUCCUCAUUGAUCCUCACGUUUUUUGCAUUGGGCCAACCCAAACUCACCGUCAAAUUACAUAUCAUAGCCAGGGGCACAGCCUACACCACAAAAAACUCGGAUCCACGCCUGCCUGGCCACACCAUGGCCCAAAAACGUGGUUCCGAAGCAUGGAUCCUCAUGAUUUUUGCACUAGAUCAGCCCAAAGUCACCAUCAGAUCAAACAUCAUGGCCAUGGGCACAGCACGUGACACAAAAAUCACGGAUCCAUGGCUUCCUGGCCGUACCGUGGCCCAAAAACAUGGUUUUGAAGCACGGAUCUUCAUGGAUCCUGACGCUUUUUGCAUUGGGCCACCCCAAACUCACUGUCAAAUCACACAUCAUGCCCAGGGGCACAGCCUUCACCACAGAAAACUCAGAUCCCCGGCUUCCUGGUCACUCCAUUGCCCAAAAAUGUGGUUUUGAAGCAUGGAUCCUCAUGGAUCCUCAUGCUUUUUGCAUUGGGCCACCCCAAACUCACAGUCAAAUCACACCUUAUGGCCAGGGGCACAGCCUGCACCACAAAAAAAUAGGAUCCAUGGCUUCCUGGCCACAACAUGGUCCAAAAACGUAGUUUUGAAGCACGGAUCCUCAUGGAUCCUCACACUUUUUGCACUGGGCCACCCCUAAAUCACCGUCAAAUCACACAUCAUGUCCAGGGGCACAGCCUGCACCACAAGAAGCCAGUAUCCACGGCUUCCUGGCCGUACCGUGGCCCAAAAACAUGGUUUUGAAGCACGUAUCCUCAUGCAUCCUCAUGCUUUUUGCAUUGGGACAACCCAAACUCACCGUCAAAUCACACAUCAUGUCCAGGGGCACAGCCUGCACCACAAAAAUCAUGAGUUGCACUACAAAAAUCACAGAAAUGCCCUUACAUAACACUGUUAAUGUCACCACUGGAACAUUACAUUGGGUAAUAAUUUUUUUACUUUUCGAAUGUUGUCUAGAUUUCUACAACUGAUUUAGGGUAUUUUUGCACUGCUGAAUCAGGAAAUGGCAUCUGUUUCUCUCCAUCAGGUCAGGUUUACUGUAAACUGAAUGGUGGGCAUUGAUAAAGGUAAGUACACGUAAAUUGCAUGUUGCUUCACCAUUUUUCAAACUUCAGGGCUUGAACUUCCGUUUCUUGGAACUCCUGGAAUGCUCAGCGGCAGGGAGGUCUCUCUUCAGAGUCCAACAGUAGUCAGCCAUCAUGACUGUGUCCCAGCGACCCUGGUACCUGGUCUCCAUCUCUUUCAUGUCCUGAUGGAAUCUCUCCCCCUGCUCGUCACUCAUUGAACCCAGGUUCUCAGGAAACCGGUCCAUAUGUGAAAAUAGGUAGUGCAUCUUGACGCUCAUGUUGCAGCCCAGGUUUCUGAAAGCAGUCAGCAUGUUGUUGACAAGUUCUGAGUAGUUUCUGGCCUUAUUGUUGCCAAGAAAGUUCUUCACUACCAGAACAAAUGCCUUCCACGCUUCCAGUUCCACUUCGUUCAUUGAGUUUCUGAACUCUGGAUCUCUGAUGUGCUGACGGAUCUGAGGACCGUCAAAGACGCCAGCUUUCAACUUCUUCAUGCUCAAUCCUGGAAAAGCUUGGCACAAGUAAGUGAACCAGUCACCAUCCUUGUCCAGAGCCUUGGUGAACUGCUUGAUUAAGCCAAGCUUGAUGUGCAGCGGUGGGAAGAGUAUUCUGUCUCUGUCCACCAGGGGGUCGUUGAUGACGUUCCUUUCUUUGCAAGACACCAAUUCCUCCCGCACAGGCCAGUCCUUCUUCGUGUAAUGCUGAGCACGGUCCUUACUAUCCCACAUGCACAGAAAACUAGGGUACUUGGUGAAGCCAGACUGUUGUCCCAACAAAAAGUUCACCAUCUUCAGGUCAACACAAAUAAACCACUUAUGCUGAUCAUAACCAAUUUUCUCCAGCACAUACUUCACCGCUUCAUAGUUCUCCUUCAGUGUACUCGAGUGAGCCAGGGGUAUAGAGGCAAACUGGUUGCCGUUGUGUAGCAGAACACAUUUCAGUGAUCGCUUGCUGCUGUCAAUGAACAGUCUCCAAUCUUUGGGUUCAUACUGUGGCACUCCAAGCUUGAGCAGAAGCUGUGCAAUAUCUGCACAGUACACCAAGUCCUUCUCUUCCGAGAAAAAACGGAGGUACUCUUGAUGCCUGUUGCGGAAGAAGCUGAUGCGAGCACUGUCAGAGAGGAGGUUUUUUCCUUCAAUCUGGAUGCCAACAGUUCUGCAGAGUCCUUUGACAAGCUGAGGUCGCGAACUAGAUCAUUCAACUCCUUUUGGGAAAAUGGAUGUGGAGCAUCAUCUUCAAGAACCACUUCUUCUUCUUCAUGUCCUUCAACACUGGAGGCAUCUUCGUCGCUAAUGUCAGGAAGUUCUCCGAAGAUAGGCACUGGAAUUUCAUCACAAUGAGCUACAGGACGAGGUGCUGAUUGAAGAUCAGGAUACUUGAGGCUGCUCCGGUUCUUUCUGUUGAUCCCAGCCGCACCAAUUUAUGGAAGAUUUCGAGGUUUUAUGACUUCAAACUGAUCCCUUUUCGACAUAAUCACCCAGAACUAUCGGACCUGAGUACUUCUUGUCAUUAAAAUAAUCAUUUCCAAUCAAAACAAUUAUUCGACAUGGCAUUUUACCCCCACCAACUUCUUCUAAAAUGCUCCACGCAAGCAUUCAUGUGCACAAAAAUGUAAAAAAACGACAUGUGGCCAUAGCUCAAAAACUUGACCUGAUUGAGGAAAACUGAUGUGAUUUUUGGAUUCAGCGCAUCAGAUUCGUCCUAAAUCAACUGAAAAAACGCAGACAACAAAUUUGUUGUUGACCAGUGUUAGAGCCGAUAGGAGAAUAUAUGACUACCGUAUUUUUCGCUCUAUAGGACGCACUGUUUACCCUCCAAAAAUUAAGGGGAAAUGUGUGUGCGUCCUAUGGAGCGAAUGCAGGCUUCUUGGCUUCAGCGAUAGCAACGCGAAGCCUCUGAAGCGCAGAGGGAGCGCUCCCUCCGCGCUCCUGAGGCUACGCGUUGCUUUCGCUGAAGCCUGGAGAGCGAGAGGGGUCGGUGCUUCGCUGGAGAGGCGCUGCACAGUUUUUCCUCUCUGUGCAGUGCCCCUUCAGCGAAGCCGGAGGAGAAAUGGAAGGGGCUCUGUUUCUCCUCCCGCUUCGCUGAAGGGGCGCUGAGCGGAGAUGGGGAGAACUUUUUUUUCUCCUGUUCUCCCCCUCCUAUGGUCCGGUGCGUCCUAUGGUCCCGUGCAUCCUAUAAAGCGGAAAAUAUAGUAUAUAUUGUACCAAGAUAUGGUUCAUGUUCAAGAACAGAUCAAAUACAUGCCAAAGUAUUAAAGAGGAGAAAAAAUAUGAAACUGCUUACAUACGGUCAACUAAUAUCCAGAUUCAAGAAAGACUGUAUGGCAAACAUUUAAAUCAGUGAAAAGACAGAAUUUGAGUCCACCGAGCCCGAACAAGCAAAACCUUAUAUGACAAAAUGGAUGCAAAAAAUUUAAGAGCAGUUCACAAUGGAACAAUGAGAACAAUUAUGAAUAAAGGAAUAAAAUUUACUGCAAGUUAAGCCCUAAAACAAAAUUGGUACAGUGAAACCUCGGGUUGCAGACGUAACCCGUGACUGAGGCAUGUCUGCAACCCACAGCGUUCGCAUCCUGAAGCGCCAUGUCUGCACAGGCGCCGGCGCAAUUUGGCGCUUCUGCGCAUGUGAAAGCGGCGAAACCUGGAAGUAACCCGUUCCAGUACUUCCAGGUUUCCCGCGGUCCGCAACCCAAAAACACAUAACCUGAAGCGGCCGUAACAUGAGGUAUGAUUGUACAAAAAUGUUCUUUCAGUGGUAUAUAACUUUGAAAAAUAUACAGAAUAUGAAUAAUGCAAUGAAUGGACAUUGCUGGAAAUGUGAUAGACCUUAAGGAAUCUUCUUCCAUUUAUGGUGGACCUGUGAAAAGACCAAAAAGUUUUGGAGGAAAGUUCAUUUC